AAUAUCCACAAGGAGAAACAAAAGGAGAUCAUUUGCACAAAUAUUAGACCCUCGCGCGCCUUGCGCAGGUGUUCAAAAGUUAGAACGAGCUAGUUUACAACGAAUGAGUUUAUCAGGCAACUGCACAGAAGCAAAAGAACAGGAAAACAUGAUAAAAUCCAGACCAGCUACUUCACAGUCUCUUCUGCGCGGAUACUUUGGAUGUAUUAACAUACUGUCUAAUUGGGUUAGGACAAACUAGUCUUUUUACAUCAUGUAUCACCCCCACUGGGAUUACAAAUUCAGAUCAGAGCGCUAACAAGUGUA
This 306-nucleotide long non-coding RNA is filed under the name Setaria italica (foxtail millet). RNAcentral describes it as "long non-coding RNA (SITA_LNC004247)". The record is from RNAcentral. Lineage: Eukaryota; Viridiplantae; Streptophyta; Magnoliopsida; Poales; Poaceae.